GAGAUAGGUGCCCCCUUGUGGUCGGUGUACAGGUGGUGCAUGGCUGUCGUCAGCUCGUGUCGUGAGAUGUUGGGUUAAGUCCCGCAACGAGCGCAACCCUUGUUCUGUGUUGCCAGCAUGCCUUUCGGGGUGAUGGGGACUCACAGGAGACUGCCGGGGUCAACUCGGAGGAAGGUGGGGACGACGUCAAGUCAUCAUGCCCCUUAUGUCUUGGGCUGCACACGUGCUACAAUGGCCGGUACAAUGAGCUGCGAUACCGUGAGGUGGAGCGAAUCUCAAAAAGCCGGUCUCAGUUCGGAUUGGGGUCUGCAACUCGACCCCAUGAAGUCGGAGUCGCUAGUAAUCGCAGAUCAGCAUUGCUGCGGUGAAUACGUUCCCGGGCCUUGUACACACCGCCCGUCACGUCACGAAAGUCGGUAACACCCGAAGCCGGUGGCCCAACCCCUUGUGGGAGGGAGUCGUCGAAGGUGGGACUGGCGAUUGGGACGAAGUCGUAACAAGGUAACCGU
RNAcentral lists this ribosomal RNA (509 nucleotides) under uncultured Streptomyces sp. Its description in RNAcentral is "bacterial SSU rRNA". It matches the Rfam family "Bacterial small subunit ribosomal RNA", at positions 1003 to 1503 of the family's 1533-position model. Lineage: Bacteria; Bacillati; Actinomycetota; Actinomycetes; Kitasatosporales; Streptomycetaceae. The record is from RNAcentral.